GUAGGGUGCGAGCGUUGUCCGGAAUUAUUGGGCGUAAAGAGCUCGUAGGCGGUUUGUUGCGUCUGCCGUGAAAACCUGGGGCUUAACUCCGGGCUUGCGGUGGAUACGGGCAGACUUGAGUUCGGUAGGGGAGUCUGGAAUUCCUGGUGUAGCGGUGAAAUGCGCAGAUAUCAGGAGGAACACCGGUGGCGAAGGCGGGACUCUGGGCCGAUACUGACGCUGAGGAGCGAAAGCGUGGGGAGCGAACAGGAUUAGAUACCCUGGUAGUCCACGCUGUAAACGUUGGGCGCUAGGUGUGGGUGACAUUCCACGUUGUCCGUGCCGUAGCUAACGCAUUAAGCGCCCCGCCUGGGGAGUACGGCCGCAAGGCUAAA
This 374-nucleotide ribosomal RNA is filed under the name uncultured bacterium. RNAcentral's name for it is "bacterial SSU rRNA". It matches the Rfam family "Bacterial small subunit ribosomal RNA", at positions 527 to 898 of the family's 1533-position model. The record is from RNAcentral.